This 253-nucleotide ribosomal RNA is filed under the name uncultured bacterium. Its description in RNAcentral is "partial 16S ribosomal RNA". It matches the Rfam family "Bacterial small subunit ribosomal RNA", at positions 524 to 776 of the family's 1533-position model. The record is from RNAcentral.
UACGGAGGGUGCGAGCGUUAUCCGGAAUUACUGGGUUUAAAGGGUGCGUAGGCGGCUAUGUAAGUCAGGAGUGAAAGUUUGCGGCUCAACCGUAAAAUUGCUUUUGAUACUGCAUGGCUAGAAUUAGGAUGAGGUUAGCGGAAUGUGGCAUGUAGCGGUGAAAUGCAUAGAUAUGCCAUAGAACACCAAUUGCGAAGGCAGCUGGCUAGACCUGGAUUGACGCUGAGGCACGAAAGCGUGGGGAGCGAACAGG